RNAcentral lists this unclassified non-coding RNA (300 nucleotides) under uncultured fungus. RNAcentral describes it as "partial contains 5.8S ribosomal RNA, internal transcribed spacer 2, and large subunit ribosomal RNA". The record is from RNAcentral. Lineage: Eukaryota; Fungi.
AACGCACCUUGCGCUCUUGGGUUAUUCCUAAGAGCAUGCUUGUUUGAGUGUCACGUACCUCUCCACCCCGCCUUGUCUUCGAACAAGGUUGUUUAGGGCUUGGGAUCAUGGGGCGCCUGUUGUUUUAAAGACAACUGCCCUGAAAUACAAGGAGCUGAAUCUCAUGUUUGCGGCUUGACCCGUUGUUAUAAAGUUGUAAUGACCCCCCAAUGGGAACGCAAAACAGAAGGAGCUUACCCAAAACUUUAAUUUAUAAAACACUUUGACCUCAAAUCAAGCAGGACUACCCGCUGAACUUAA